This 121-nucleotide ribosomal RNA is filed under the name Lactarius acerrimus. RNAcentral's name for it is "5.8S ribosomal RNA". It matches the Rfam family "5.8S ribosomal RNA", at positions 1 to 121 of the family's 154-position model. From Rfam's summary of the family: 5.8S ribosomal RNA (5.8S rRNA) is a component of the large subunit of the eukaryotic ribosome. It is transcribed by RNA polymerase I as part of the 45S precursor that also contains 18S and 28S rRNA. Functionally, it is thought that 5.8S rRNA may be involved in ribosome translocation. The record is from RNAcentral. Lineage: Eukaryota; Fungi; Basidiomycota; Agaricomycetes; Russulales; Russulaceae.
AACUUUCAACAACGGAUCUCUUGGCUCUCGCAUCGAUGAAGAACGCAGCGAAAUGCGAUACGUAAUGUGAAUUGCAGAAUUCAGUGAAUCAUCGAAUCUUUGAACGCACCUUGCGCCCCNN